AGAGGGAUUGGAGACUAAGCCUAUCUUUAAAUUCAGCAGGCCCAGAAUUAAUCUUGUCUUUUAUCUAAACCAGUAGUCUGAAGAAAACUCGACUUUCUGACUAGAAAUUGCCCACAAAUUCAAACACAGUUGUGUGUACGAUUUCUGGAGGUUUGUGGCUACUCUGAGGUUCAUCCACAAUUCUCAGGGCAAGCUUGGCCUUCCACAUCAGUAGGGAUUCUCUGUUCAUUCUUCUUGGAAAAUAUAGCAUUGAGGAUUUAAAUACACAGUCCAUUUUUCCUUAAUGCUUGAGGUGGUUCAUUGCUCAAGUUAAUCUGUACCUGCCUUCGCUGCCAUUUGGAGGGAUCAACAACUUCGCAUGCGAUGCAAAUAAAGAACUGGUAGGGUCCAGGCAUUUUACAACUUAUCAAGAAACAAGCACUGA
Molecule: long non-coding RNA, 424 nt
Filed under: Heterocephalus glaber (naked mole-rat)
Lineage: Eukaryota; Metazoa; Chordata; Mammalia; Rodentia; Bathyergidae
Description: lncRNA (ENSHGLG00000036599.1)
Source: RNAcentral